Molecule: ribosomal RNA, 477 nt
Filed under: uncultured bacterium
Lineage: Bacteria
Description: partial 16S ribosomal RNA
Rfam family: Bacterial small subunit ribosomal RNA
Source: RNAcentral
AUGAACGCUAGCGGCAGGCCUAACACAUGCCAGUCGAGGGAGAAGCCCUUUCGGGGGCAGAAACCGGCGCACGGGUGCGUAACGCGUAUGCAACCUACCUUUCACAGGGGGAUAGCCCGAAGAAAUUUGGAUUAAUACCCCAUAAUAUUGUUGGAUGGCAUCAUUUGGCAAUUAAAACUGCGGUGGUGAAAGAUGGGCAUGCGUCCUAUUAGCUAGUUGGAGUGGUAACGGCACCCCAAGGCUACGAUAGGUAGGGGUCCUGAGAGGGAGAUCCCCCACACUGGUACUGAGACAGGGACCAGACUCCUACGGGAGGCAGCAGUGAGGAAUAUUGGUCAAUGGUCGGAAGACUGAACCAGCCAUGCCGCGUGCAGGAAGAAUGCCUUAUGGGUUGUAAACUGCUUUUAUAUGGGAAGAAUAAGGCGUACGUGUACGUUGAUGACGGUACCAUAUGAAUAAGCAUCGGCUAACUCCGUG